UGAAAAUCAAUGAUGGGGCAAAAGUAAUUAGAACCUGUAUUCACAGAGAGCCGGUAAUGCUGGAAGCCGGUAAUACAACUAGUUGCGACAUCACCCCGGAGUGGAUUGCUGAAAUUAUAGUAGGCAAUCCCGGGCGUAGAGAAAUCGGCGCUCGUUAUAUAAAGAAUAGACCUAGUCUAUUCAUGAGGCGGCUAGAUUGCUGCGAACAAGGGUGGUACCAUGAAAAGUUUUUUCAUCCCUAUG
RNAcentral lists this non-coding RNA (243 nucleotides) under Sporosarcina psychrophila. RNAcentral describes it as "T-box sequence". It matches the Rfam family "T-box leader". Rfam says of the family: Uncharged tRNA acts as the effector for transcription antitermination of genes in the T-box leader family. T-boxes are found upstream of many aminoacyl-tRNA synthetase genes and some amino acid biosynthetic genes usually in Gram-positive bacteria. Lineage: Bacteria; Bacillati; Bacillota; Bacilli; Caryophanales; Caryophanaceae. The record is from RNAcentral.